This 391-nucleotide RNase P RNA is filed under the name Deltaproteobacteria bacterium. RNAcentral describes it as "RNase P RNA component class A". It matches the Rfam family "Bacterial RNase P class A". Rfam says of the family: Ribonuclease P (RNase P) is a ubiquitous endoribonuclease, found in archaea, bacteria and eukarya as well as chloroplasts and mitochondria. Its best characterised activity is the generation of mature 5'-ends of tRNAs by cleaving the 5'-leader elements of precursor-tRNAs. Lineage: Bacteria; Pseudomonadati; Myxococcota; Myxococcia. The record is from RNAcentral.
CGGAGAGAACCAGGCGAUCGCUGCCCGUCGCCGCUGGCGGCGGGGGGAGGAAAGUCCGGGCUCCACAGGGCAGGAUGGUCCUUAACGGGGACCGGGGGCAACCCCAGGGAAAGUGCCACAGAGAGCAGACCGCCCGUCAGUGCUUCGGCGCAGACGGGUAAGGGUGAAAGGGUGAGGUAAGAGCUCACCAGUGCCGGCGGUGACGUCGGCAGCUCGGUAAACCCCAUCCGGAGCAAGACCGAAUAGGGGAGUGUUCGAGGGCGGCCCGUCCGAGACUCCCGGGUUGGUUGCUUGAGACCGCCGGCAACGGCGGUCCUAGAGGAAUGAUCGCCACCCCGCCGAGGGCAACCGGAGCGGGGGACAGAACCCGGCUUACCGGUCUCUCCGGCCA